RNAcentral lists this microRNA (19 nucleotides) under Mus musculus (house mouse). RNAcentral's name for it is "mmu-miR-3965". The record is from miRBase by way of RNAcentral. Lineage: Eukaryota; Metazoa; Chordata; Mammalia; Rodentia; Muridae.
UGCUUAUCAGCCUGAUGUU